RNAcentral lists this ribosomal RNA (440 nucleotides) under uncultured bacterium. Its description in RNAcentral is "bacterial SSU rRNA". It matches the Rfam family "Bacterial small subunit ribosomal RNA", at positions 338 to 795 of the family's 1533-position model. The record is from RNAcentral.
CCUACGGGGUGCACCAGUGGGGAAUAUUGGACAAUGGGUGAAAGCCUGAUCCAGCAAUGCCGCGUGUGUGAAGAAGGUCUUCGGAUUGUAAAGCACUUUCGACGGGGACGAUGAUGACGGUACCCGUAGAAGAAGCCCCGGCUAACUUCGUGCCAGCUGCCGCGGUAAUACGAAGGGGGCUAGCGUUGCUCGGAAUGACUGGGCGUAAAGGGCGCGUAGGCGGUUUAUGCAGUCAGAUGUGAAAUCCCCGGGCUUAACCUGGGAAUUGCAUUUGAGACGCAUAGACUAGAGGUCGAGAGAGGGUUGUGGAAUUCCCAGUGUAGAGGUGAAAUUCGUAGAUAUUGGGAAGAACACCGGUGGCGAAGGCGGCAGCCUGGCUCGAUACUGACGCUGAGGCGCGAGAGCGUGGGGAGCAAACAGGAUUAGAUACCCCGGUAGUC